RNAcentral lists this long non-coding RNA (1050 nucleotides) under Dermacentor andersoni. RNAcentral describes it as "uncharacterized LOC126536495". Lineage: Eukaryota; Metazoa; Arthropoda; Arachnida; Ixodida; Ixodidae. The record is from RNAcentral.
ACACCAUUACAUCUUGGGUAUAACGCUAAGCCAUUGGGUCCCACGGUACCAUUGCACUUGCAUAGUCAUUGCCUAGAUGGCAUAUCAAGUGGGCUACUGUGUGUAUGACUUGGCAGGUAAAUAACAAGGAGUUAUAUUUUGGAGCCUUGUUUUUGUUGGCAAGUUUCGGGUAUUUUGUUCAUGGAUUUGUUUUCAGGCUAAGAAAGUAAGACAUAUAUAUAGCACAUGUCACUUUUGUCACCUUGUUUAUUGCUUUGCUAAGUACUUGAGCCUAUGGCAGGGGUUCUCGAACGGGGUUCUGUGGAAGCCAGAAGUUCCCGCGAACGGAUUUUAGGAUUCUGUGGGUGAUCAGAACAAAUCCAAACCCAUCUCGUUUUCCUCCAUUCACUUCCACAAUUAAUCUGCUUAGAGGAGAAAUUUUGCAUUGCAUUUUGAAUUUAACAAAGCCAUUGCAUGCCACAUCUGUACAUUCACGCGGCAGCAUAGUGCAAUACUCAUCACUGUCAUUUGCAAGCUCACGGGGCCCAUGCUGAGCGCUUUUCAAACGUGCUCGCAAGGGUGGCUUAUAACGCAACAGGAAUCAGUGCAAACAUUCUGCAAGCUCAGAGCCAUUUCAGAAUUUGGCGCCAUCUGUCUGGUCAACUCUUCUUGGCAACAAACGGUGAACAUUUAAACAGCAUAUUGUAUAACAGAAACAUGGGGCACAUUUAUGCGUGAUUUUUGGUUGAAGAGCAUCGGUGUCGGGCACAUUUAUUUUUGAUACAGGCUGAUUUGCUACCACACUGCAUUGGUUUCCAGCCAAAAAAGCUCCACAAGCAUUUGCAUGCAUAUCUGCAUAUCGAAGACCAUUCUGCAGCAUGAGUAACUUGCGAAAUAUAUUUUUUUUUUUUGCAAAAGAAUAAAAUCAAGUUUCAUGCAUCCAACACUCUAGUUUGUGUAAAGAUGCUGUUUAUGGUGCGCAUGCUCUGCACUGUGGCUCGGCAAUAAAUAAUUGCUUUAUGUAAUGUCUUUGUAUUAUUGUGAGUUCCUCAUCAAGAGUCUCUCUCUAGA